CAAGGAAUUUUCCCCAAUGGGCGCAAGCCUGAGGGAGCAACGCCGCGUGCAGGACGACGGCUUUCGGGUUGUAAACUGCUUUUGCGUGGGACGAUAACGACGGUACCACGCGAAUACGCCCCGGCUAACUCUGUGCCAGCAGCCGCGGAAAUACAGAGGGGGCAAGCGUUGUCCGGACUUACUGGGCGUAAAGCGCACGCAGGUGGUAAGGCAAGUGGUGUGUGAAAGCCGCCAGCUUAACUGGCGGAGGCCAUCCCAAACUGCUUCACUUGAGGCCUGUAGAGGUAUGUGGAAUUGCCGGUGUAGGGGUGAAAUGCGUAGAGAUAGGCAGGAACACCAAGGGGGAAACCAGCAUACUGGACAGGACCUGACACUCAGGUGCGACAGCGUGGGGAGCGAUCCGGAUUAGAUACCCCCGUAGUCC
RNAcentral lists this ribosomal RNA (424 nucleotides) under uncultured prokaryote. RNAcentral's name for it is "bacterial SSU rRNA". It matches the Rfam family "Bacterial small subunit ribosomal RNA", at positions 355 to 796 of the family's 1533-position model. The record is from RNAcentral.